RNAcentral lists this non-coding RNA (40 nucleotides) under Mesorhizobium sp. Its description in RNAcentral is "THF-II sequence". It matches the Rfam family "THF-II riboswitch (folE RNA)". The record is from RNAcentral. Lineage: Bacteria; Pseudomonadati; Pseudomonadota; Alphaproteobacteria; Hyphomicrobiales; Phyllobacteriaceae.
CCGUUCAACUCGUUCCUCCGUAUGAGGGGAACUACGGGAG